ACUUCUGGUGAGAGAAAGCUGAGCAGAGUGGAUCUAACCUGAUUCCUCCACCAGAAGCCCUUAAAAUGCAGCUUUGUUUUAAGCCUUCUUGAAGAUUUGGGCUAGAUCUAGAAAAGAACCUCACCACGGAGGAUGUGCAAAGUACAACACGUGAUCCCGGAGACGGAAGCUCUUCUCUACCUCUGUAAAGAUGAUCUCUGAUGAACAGAAAUGAUCAUGCCUGGAGAACAGGGAUGAAUAGCCCAGCUUCUGAAAGACCCUGUCUGGCUGAUGAUUCAUGGUGCGCUGGGCCGAUCCCAGGCCAAGAGACCCCACCCACAGUACCUGAGUGCUCAGCUGGGAACCAGACCAGACCUCAAAACAGGUUCCCAAGGUUACCACCCAACCUGCCAGCUUUCCCACCACGCGAGGAGCAAGACCCCGCCUGCUCACCAUCUGUCUGUGCACCCAACGGGCCUCGCUGAGCUGCCCUAGGCCGCUCCCUCCAUCACACAGCUGGCCCUUCCUCUCCCUGCCUCCCUUCACCUACCCCAUGAACUACUUCAUCCCUUUGGACCGGCACUGUAGAAGCCCCAUUGGCUACAUUGACCUCCCAAUUAUCUCCUCUUUCCCUCUCCCUCUGCUCCUGUCCCAGACCAGCCCCCCAGCAUUGGCCUGGAUACCUGCCACAGCCUCCUCCCUGGUCCCCGGCCUCCCACCUCUGCUCCUCAGGGCUCCUCUACACAGCCAGUAACUGCAGAGAGCACUAAAGCACAGUCCUGACACCUCACUCCCUUAACCCUGGCCAUGGCUUCCCAGUGCCUCCAAGAUAAAGCACCAACACCUGAGGACAGCGGCUUGUUUUGAGAGUCCCCUCCGUUGAAACAUGCACAUCUGAUUUGUCCUUCAGUUCACUGGACUCCACGCUGAACGUGCCAUGCUCCAUUGCCCUGUGGGUAACUCCAUGCUCUUGCCGGUUUCACACAGCCUCUCAGAGCGGGAGCCUUUGUUCAGGAGCCCUGGGCAGCUUUCAGGAAGCUCUUGGGCUCAUCAGCUUCCUCUGGCUGAAGCGGCCCCAGUGGAAUCGUGGGGAUUUCUUACUUUGAAGGUGGGGCCACCCGCAGACCGUAACCGGCUGGUUCAAGAUCAAGGACUUCCCCAGGCCACCUGCCUCAGGGGCAGGAAAGGCUCAGCUGAGUCCCAGACACUCCUCGCUGUGGCCCCUCGUUCCUCCCUGCUGGGCAGGCCCCCCUCGAUUCUGUUUGCCAGCAGGGCCUAGUAACACUGAAAGACGAAAAGGGAAAUAAAAUAAACACAACUAAUAGGCUAAAGGUUACUGAAUAAAGUGGCAGCAGUAAACAAAUUGACUACUGUGCAAAUACAAAGACUUGAAGACAUGAAACCCCUGCUCUAAAUGACUCACCAAGAGCAAGGCCUGGGCUAGAGGCAGGGAGCACCUCCCUAAGGAGCACUCCCUCUUUCCCGGAGUGAGUCCUCCUUCUAGACAGAACUGAGUCCGGGUUCCUCUUGAGCCACAGUCCCUGUUGGGGCCUAUCUCACUGGACUCAAGAUCCUGAACUUCUACCAGAUUGCUGACUGCACAUUUGAGUCACCCAGAGAUUAAAAGAAAAAACAAAUAAUUUCCCAGUGAUCAGGAGUAAAUCAGCUGGGGCAGGGUUGGUGCUAUGAAUGACCACACUGAAUUGUGCACUUAAACUGAUUUGUGCACUUUGCUGAUUUGUAGUGUUUGCUAUUUCCGUCGUGUAAAUACUUCCAGCAUGGACAAUCUUAAGUUGCUAAUGGUUUACUAACUGGCUUGUAAAUGAAUUCAUUCAGUAUUCAAGAAAAUGACACUACAUUUAG
Molecule: long non-coding RNA, 1842 nt
Filed under: Pongo abelii (Sumatran orangutan)
Lineage: Eukaryota; Metazoa; Chordata; Mammalia; Primates; Hominidae
Description: lincRNA
Source: RNAcentral